RNAcentral lists this unclassified non-coding RNA (5404 nucleotides) under Hevea brasiliensis (rubber tree). Lineage: Eukaryota; Viridiplantae; Streptophyta; Magnoliopsida; Malpighiales; Euphorbiaceae. The record is from RNAcentral.
CCUCCAGCGCAUCCCCAUCCGGUUUGCUUGCUUUAUUGAAUGACUGAUCCUACUAUUUCUCAAUCUUUGAUUAUAUUUGAAUGAUUUUUCACUCAUAGCAUACUGUGAUCUUUCGUUGGAACUACCCUGAAAUUGAGAGAAAAUUCCAAGCGCGACAAGGAUCGCCCAUUUGGAAAUGAGGAUCAGAUUCAGAAUUUGUGUCCAAGAAUAUGCCAUUUGAGCCUUUUUCCUAGUUGUUUUUGCUUCCAAGCUAGAAAUCGAAACAAAAAUAAUGGUGCACAUUGCCUACGAUUCCUUCGAGCUCCUCAGUGGCUGCCCCGUGAAAAUUUAUGCUAUCGAAUCCUACUGCUCAAAGCUUCUUGUCGGCUGCUCCGAUGGGGCCCUUCGAAUAUACGUCCCGGAACCCUCCUCCGAACGAGCUUCACUGUCAGAUUAUCAUGGCCAAGCUCAAGAGCUGCGAAAGGAAACUUAUGCACUGGAGAGAACUGUUACGGGGUUUUCAAAGAAGCCUCUCUUUUCAUUGGAGGUAUUGGCAUCGAGAGAGCUACUUUUAUCGCUCUCUGAAUCAAUCGCCUUUCAUAGAUUACCCAAUUUGGAGACUUUAGCUGUGAUCACCAAAGCAAAAGGCGCCAAUGUGUAUUCAUGGGAUGACAGAAGAGGGUUUUUGUGCUUUGCUAGGCAAAAGCGAGUCAGCAUCUUCAGGCACGAUGGGGGACGGGGAUUUGUGGAGGUAAGGGAAUUUGGUGUUCCAGAUACUGUGAAGUCCAUGUCUUGGUGUGGUGAAAAUAUUUGUUUAGGGAUUAGAAAGGAGUACAUGAUACUGAAUGCCACUAAUGGUGCAUUGACUGAGGUAUUUCCUUCUGGUAGAUUAGCCCCUCCUUUAGUGGUCUCUCUCCCUUCUGGGGAGCUUCUUCUUGGAAAGGAAAACAUUGGGGUUUUUGUGGACCAAAAUGGCAAGCUUCUUCAAGCAGAGAGGAUUUGUUGGUCGGAGGCCCCUUCUGUCAUUGUCAUUCAGAAACCUUAUGCAAUAGCUCUGCUUCCAAGACGUGUUGAGAUUCGGUCUCUCCGAGUUCCAUAUCCAUUGAUACAGACCAUUGUACUUCAAAAUGUCCGUCAUCUUAUUCAAAGCAAUAAUGCAGUAAUCGUUGCGUUAGACAAUUCUGUAUAUGGGCUCUUCCCUGUUCCACUUGGGGCACAGAUUGUACAGUUAACAGCAUCUGGGAAUUUUGAGGAAGCCUUGGCCUUAUGCAAGCUGCUUCCACCUGAAGAUUCAAGCUUGCGAGCAGCAAAGGAAGGGUCAAUUCAUAUAAGAUAUGCUCACUAUCUUUUUGAGAAUGGGAGCUAUGAAGAGGCUAUGGAACACUUUUUAGCAUCCCAAGUGGAUAUCACAUAUGUCCUUUCUUUGUAUCCAUCUAUUGUUCUUCCCAAGACAUCUAUGCUUCGUGAACCAGAAAAGCUAAUGGACAUUUCUUCAGAUGCUCCAUAUCUCUCAAGAGGUUCAUCUGGAGUAUCGGAUGAUAUGGAAUCCUUAGCUCCACCGCAGUUAACUGAAUUUGAUGAGCAUGCUGCCCUUGAAUCCAAGAAAAUGAGCCAUAAUACUCUCAUGGCUCUCAUUAAGUUCUUGCAGAAAAAGAGAUUCAGUAUAAUUGAAAAAGCCACUUCUGAGGGAACAGAAGAAGUUGUUUUUGAUGCUGUUGGAGAGAAUUUUGGACCGUAUGACUCAAGUAGGUCUAAGAAAUCCAACAAGGGGCGUGGUACAAUUUCCAUUAACUCAGUUGCCAGGGAAAUGGCGUCAAUACUGGAUACGGCACUACUUCAAGCUCUUCUUCUUACUGGACAAUCUUCGGCAGCUUUAGAAUUACUUAGAGGUCUUAACUACUGUGACCUAAAGAUAUGUGAGGAGAUUCUUCAAAAACAGAAUCAUUAUACUGCUUUAUUGGAACUUUAUAAGUGCAACUCCAUGCACCGAGAAUCUCUUAAGCUCUUGCAUCAAUUAGUUGAAGAGUCAAAAUCAAGCCGAGCACAAACUGAGCUUAACUCAAAGUUCAAACCUGAAUCAAUUAUUGAAUAUCUUAAGCCUCUCUGUGGAACGGAACCCAUGCUUGUCCUGGAGUUCUCAAUGCUUGUUCUUGAAAGCUGUCCAACGCAAACUAUUGAGCUUUUCUUGUCUGGGAAUAUCCCUGCAGACUUGGUCAACUCUUAUCUGAAGCAGCAUGCUCCAAGCAUGCAGGGCAGAUAUUUAGAACUUAUGCUUGCAAUGAAUGAAAAUGGAAUCUCUGGAAACCUGCAGAAUGAAAUGGUACAAAUCUAUCUUUCGGAAGUACUUGAAUGGCACACAGAUCUGAGUGCUCAGCAGAAAUGGGAUGAGAAGGCUUAUUCCCCAACAAGGAAAAAAUUAUUGUCUGCUUUGGAGAGUAUCUCAGGUUAUAACCCUGAGGCUUUGUUGCAACGGCUUCCAGCAGAUGCAUUAUAUGAAGAGCGUGCAAUUUUACUGGGGAAAAUGAACCAGCAUGAGCUUGCCUUAUCUCUUUAUGUUCAUAAGGUAUUGUUUUGGUGUAAACUAAUUUGUUUAAGUGAGAUCAUUAACGAGUGACAUCACUCACAGGGAAACCUCAUGUAAGGUUUGCCUUUUAUUUGGGAAUUUUGGGAUAUCCCUACUAGACAUGGGCCCAGACUGGGUUUGGACCAAAACCGGACUGGAACACUCAAACCAGAUUUGAUUGGAACCAUCUUAAACUGGAUCGAAACUGGUUUUUUCACCUUUUUUUUUUUAAGAAAAAAAUUUCACUGUCAGAUUUGACCAAACGGGACCGGAUAUGAACUGGUUCCAGUUCCGGCCUGGGCCUGGAACUUGACCAUGCCAGCCCAUGUCUGAUCCCUGGCCACCCCAAAUGGCAAGGCGUAGAUAGAAAGGACUUCAGUUCUUUAAUUAAGGUUGAUCUAACUCUUUGUUUUAGUGUAUUUAUGAGUAGGUUUCUUCUGUAUUGUGAUUAUUCUUGUUUUGAUUAUCUAUCUUUUCAUUAUUUUUUUUCUUUUCCAAAAAUAUCUGGUUUAGAUUAUUUGACCUUUACAGCUUCAUGUUCCUGAACUUGCAUUGUCCUAUUGUGAUCGGGUUUAUGAGUCUGCAUCUCAUCAACCAUCUGCAAAAUCUUCUGGCAAUAUAUACCUUACUCUUCUGCAAAUUUAUCUGAAUCCCCGGAAGACAAUCAAUAACUUUGAAAAGCUAAUUACAAAUGUAGUGUCGUCUCAUGGUACAAGUAUUACAAAGGUUGGUUCUGGUACAUCAGUUAAAGCUAAAGGAGGUCGUGGAGCUAAGAAAAUUGCUGCAAUAGUGGGUGCAGAGGACAUGCGUUUUAGUCUUAGUAGUACUGACAGUAGUAGAAGUGAUGGUGAUGCAGAUGAAUUUACGGAGGAAGGAGGUUCAGCGAUCAUGCUUGAUGGGGUCCUUGACCUUUUGAGCAGAAGGUGGGACAGAAUCAAUGGAGCUCAGGCACUCAAACUUUUGCCAAAGGAAACUAAAUUGCAGAAUUUGCUUCCUUUUCUUGGACCUCUUAUGAGAAAAUCGAGCGAAGCAUACCGGAAUCUCUUGGUUAUCAAGAGUUUGAGGCAAAGUGAGAACUUGCAGGUGAAAGAGGAAUUGUACAACCAAAGGAAAACAGUAGUAAAGAUCACCAGUGAUAGUAUGUGCUCUCUUUGCAGCAAGAAAAUUGGAACGAGUGUUUUUGCAGUCUAUCCCAAUGGGAAAACACUUGUGCACUUCGUUUGUUUUAAGGACUCGCAGAGUAUGAAAGCUGUGGGUAAAGGCACACCACUAAGGAAGCGAUGAGGCUGUGUAUUCACGUGCAGUGAAUGGCAUCUUUUCCUCUACUUCAACUUGAGAAUGGCAGUUUUUCUUUGCAACAGGUUUAAGCUGCAAAGAUGUUUCGUAAUCAUUAGAUCCUUGAUUGAAACCUGCGUGUUGGCCACUAUGGUAGUGAUGCACCACUUGGCCAUGUUCACAGAGUGUGGCUAGUCGAAAACUGUAGUCUCUGCAUGAAGGGAUGAUGAGAUGGUGAUUUCUCAAUUCUCAUUCGGCAGAGAACCAUAUAUAUUUAAUUUGUGCAUAGUAAUGGAUGUGUGGCUUGCAUUAUGUAAGGCUUUUAGAUUCACUAUGUUUCUAAUAUGAUGAAGGGUGUUUUAAGGUUCCAUAGUCUGAUAAAGUUGCUUCUAUUGUAAAAAUAGUUUGACUUCUAGUUGUAUGUCAAGUACCCCGUUGCAGGUUGUGAAAAUUUUUCCUCCUUGAUAACGAUGGUAUUCUAUAAUUACGGUUGAAUUGAAGACCAAUGAUUAAAAUUUGAUGGAACUUCCUUCAACAGAUAAAAGAUAUGCAUGAAAAAAAAUAGACGCAUUCAUUUCAUUGAUGAUGACUGAUUGUUUACUAGCCCGGUUUGCAAUUUUUGACUCUUGCGAACAAAACUGUAAACCACAACACCAAUUCUUGACCCAUCGCACGGUUUGUCCAUGUGAAAAGCCUCAACAUCAAACCAUUUCCUUGCCCUCUUGAAGAACACGGAAUCCUUCUUCCACCUCCUCAAAUGAGCCAUGACAAACACAUUCUUCUUCUUCUGCUCGCCUACGCCCACUAGCACACGCAGCGUAUAAAGCAGAGGCUCGUAAAGAUGAUCAUGGUAAACCACAUCAGAUGCCAAUAUUACAUCAAAAUCCCUUCCUAUAAUCUCCACAUCACCAUCACCAUCCACUCCCCACCUGAGUGGCGCCACCUUGACGCUCCCGCCUUGAAGAGCCACCGUGUUUGCAUUGGCGUCAACGUUGAAUUGGAGGUUAGGAAUCACGUGAGGUAGGUCAGUUACCGUGACAUUGGCACCGAGAGUGAUAGCUGCUGCGAUUCCGGCGAGGCCAGUGCCGGAACCGAGCUCGAGUACAUUGAGAGGCGAGUUGUUGGAUGAUAAGGCAGCGAGGAUCGAUGAGAGUUGGCUGGUAGCGGAAUGGGAGCGGUGGCGAUCAAGGAGAGUGAGGAGCGUGGUUGCUGCCGGCCAGAGUUGGAAGGAGAGGCCUUGCGAUGGGAGCUGCCUGAUGAGUAUCGUAGAGUCAAUAGAAGAGAGGUAAUGGCGGUGCUGCAGCUGUUGUUUGGCUGCGCCGUCUGCCAGCAUGUCGAAUCCGUUUUCAUGAUAUUCCGGUAGAAGAAGAGUGGAGAUGGGAUCUAUGUCCUGUAGGUCUUCUUGCUCUGCCAUGCGCCGUCAACGCCGUUGCUUUCGGAUUCAAGGUUGCUGGAAACUCGGCGUGUAGCUAGGGCUUUUAUUUUGAAAGCCACUUGAGACAUUAUCCAGUGCUUCUCAACCAACUUAACCAAUAGGAGUCGACAAUUUGGUUAGUGUGACACGUCAGAAUCCGGCUGGCAAAAAAU